Molecule: ribosomal RNA, 618 nt
Filed under: Micrococcaceae bacterium
Lineage: Bacteria; Bacillati; Actinomycetota; Actinomycetes; Micrococcales; Micrococcaceae
Description: bacterial SSU rRNA
Rfam family: Bacterial small subunit ribosomal RNA
Source: RNAcentral
UAUGACUCCUCAUCGCAUGGUGGGGGGUGGAAAGCUUUUUGUGGUUUUGGAUGGACUCGCGGCCUAUCAGCUUGUUGGUGAGGUAAUGGCUCACCAAGGCGACGACGGGUAGCCGGCCUGAGAGGGUGACCGGCCACACUGGGACUGAGACACGGCCCAGACUCCUACGGGAGGCAGCAGUGGGGAAUAUUGCACAAUGGGCGCAAGCCUGAUGCAGCGACGCCGCGUGAGGGAUGACGGCCUUCGGGUUGUAAACCUCUUUCAGUAGGGAAGAAGCCGCAAGGUGACGGUACCUGCAGAAGAAGCGCCGGCUAACUACGUGCCAGCAGCCGCGGUAAUACGUAGGGCGCAAGCGUUAUCCGGAAUUAUUGGGCGUAAAGAGCUCGUAGGCGGUUUGUCGCGUCUGCCGUGAAAGUCCGGGGCUCAACUCCGGAUCUGCGGUGGGUACGGGCAGACUAGAGUGAUGUAGGGGAGACUGGAAUUCCUGGUGUAGCGGUGAAAUGCGCAGAUAUCAGGAGGAACACCGAUGGCGAAGGCAGGUCUCUGGGCAUUAACUGACGCUGAGGAGCGAAAGCAUGGGGAGCGAACAGGAUUAGAUACCCUGGUAGUCCAUGCCGU